This 292-nucleotide long non-coding RNA is filed under the name Musa acuminata (dwarf banana). RNAcentral describes it as "long non-coding RNA (MACU_LNC011507)". Lineage: Eukaryota; Viridiplantae; Streptophyta; Magnoliopsida; Zingiberales; Musaceae. The record is from RNAcentral.
AAGGAGGCCGAUCCCCUAAAGAGAUCAACCCCAAGUUUAGAAUCUGCAAGGGUUCUAUCACCUGGUAUCAGAGCAGCGUUCUUGGCAUCUCGCUGCCCUUCCAUUGCCAUCCAUCAGCCCUCCACAACCUCCCAAAGCAAUUCCCACAAUUGCUUAAAAGAUCGUCGCCGAAUUCUGCCAUCAUCUCCACCACCGUGGAUCAUCCUUUGAUCUCCCCGUGAAUUGCAACAGGUUCUGGUUUCCUACCUUACUGCUGCUGCAAUUUAGUUAUCCUUAUUUGAAAAAAAAAAAA